CAGUAGCCACGGUAAUACGAAGGGUGCAAGCGUUAAUCGGAAUUACUGGGCGUAAAGCGUGCGUAGGCGGUUUGUUAAGUCUGCUGUGAAAUCCCCGGGCUCAACCUGGGAAUGGCAGUGGAUACUGGCAAGCUAGAGUGUGUCAGAGGAUGGUGGAAUUCCCGGUGUAGCGGUGAAAUGCGUAGAGAUCGGGAGGAACAUCAGUGGCGAAGGCGGCCAUCUGGGACAACACUGACGCUGAGGCACGAAAGCGUGGGGAGCAAACAGGAUUAGAGACCCCGGUAGUCCCUGUCUCUUAUAC
RNAcentral lists this ribosomal RNA (301 nucleotides) under uncultured bacterium. RNAcentral describes it as "partial 16S ribosomal RNA". It matches the Rfam family "Bacterial small subunit ribosomal RNA", at positions 509 to 807 of the family's 1533-position model. The record is from RNAcentral.